UACGGCCAUAUCACAUUGAAACACCGGGUCUCGUACUCUCGCCAAAGUUAAGCGGCAUCGAGCAUGAUCAGUACCUAGAUGGCUGACCACUUGGAAAUACCAGGUGCU
This is a non-coding RNA of Acanthosepion pharaonis, 108 nucleotides long. Lineage: Eukaryota; Metazoa; Mollusca; Cephalopoda; Sepiida; Sepiidae. The record is from the annotation of a GenBank genome assembly.